AUAGAUUGCUUAAUUGCUUGUAAACAUAUAAUUGCUUACAAUUAUCUGUGUAGAACACCCUCUGAAGUAACAGAACAUAUACUUUAAUUUAUGGAGUUACCAAUAAUAGUACCUUGGACUCAUCCAACAAAUCCUCCCAGUUCAUCAGAGCAAACAGCACUUAGGGAUGGUACAAAGCCACUCUGUCAAAACCAUGUUGCCCCAGUCUGUUCAUUUUGUCUGUUUUCCAGAACUUUCCAUCCGAAUUCUCCGGUAAAUCAGAUGAAGCAGAGGUGCCUUCACCAAGAUGUCUGGGCUGAGGUGUUCCUACAAUGGAACAGACCAGGUGGCUGA
This 333-nucleotide long non-coding RNA is filed under the name Parus major (Great Tit). RNAcentral's name for it is "lncRNA (ENSPMJG00000014249.1)". The record is from RNAcentral. Lineage: Eukaryota; Metazoa; Chordata; Aves; Passeriformes; Paridae.